ACUCAUACCUUGCAGGUGAAAUACCAUGUUAUAAAAGUGGUUUUCCCAGGGAAAGGUGCAUCCAUUGCACUUUGGGUGUGCUGUUGACCCCUGUGAUUUCCCCAAAUGUGGGGAACUCAACUAAAUAAUUUGUGUUAAUGGGGGCAUUAUGUUUGUGAAUUGUUUUU
RNAcentral lists this small nuclear RNA (167 nucleotides) under Pogona vitticeps (central bearded dragon). RNAcentral's name for it is "U1 spliceosomal RNA (ENSPVIG00000022037.1)". It matches the Rfam family "U1 spliceosomal RNA". From Rfam's summary of the family: U1 is a small nuclear RNA (snRNA) component of the spliceosome (involved in pre-mRNA splicing). Its 5' end forms complementary base pairs with the 5' splice junction, thus defining the 5' donor site of an intron. There are significant differences in sequence and secondary structure between metazoan and yeast U1 snRNAs, the latter being much longer (568 nucleotides as compared to 164 nucleotides in human). Lineage: Eukaryota; Metazoa; Chordata; Lepidosauria; Squamata; Agamidae. The record is from RNAcentral.